GCCAGGUAUGGUGGUGCACACCUGUAAUCCAAGUAACUCUGGAGGCUGAGGUAGGAGGAUUGCAAAUUCAAGGCCAGCCUCAG
This 83-nucleotide small RNA is filed under the name Marmota monax (woodchuck). The record is from RNAcentral. Lineage: Eukaryota; Metazoa; Chordata; Mammalia; Rodentia; Sciuridae.